Molecule: non-coding RNA, 972 nt
Organism: Ictidomys tridecemlineatus (thirteen-lined ground squirrel)
Lineage: Eukaryota; Metazoa; Chordata; Mammalia; Rodentia; Sciuridae
Source: RefSeq, a predicted model, not a curated record
CCCAUUUCCCCUCUCCUCUGCCCUCUCCCAAUCAUAAGUGUCCCCCCAAAAUCAUGUUGUGGCUCUUCAGAGAGGGUUCCAUGAGGUGAGCAGUUUUCUCCACCAUGUGCUCCAUGCCAUGACCUGAUGUUCUACUGCCUUGCCCUAGGCCCAAAGGCAACAGGGUCAAGCAACCAUGGACUGAAACUACCAGCAUUCCACCAUCCAGAGCCCCAAUCUCUCCCAAGAACAGUCUGUUGGCAGCCAUGAUGCCCAUGAUGGAAGGACUCCUAUAUAGAACACAGCAAGAGAGUCACUCAUCCCUCUACAAGGAAUAGGUCAGGAUGGAGGGAAAAGAAAAGAAAACUCCUGGAACCUUACCACCCAACGUUCACUUCAAUAUGAGCAUCCAAGAUGGCAACCACAUCAGCAGUGGCAGCUGCCCAGCCCGUGUUGCGUGCUUGAGCAAGACCUCUUCUCUCACUAUGCCGUAUCAUUUUCAACAAUCCAGGAUACUUCUGGUUGUAAAGCUUAAUCUUCUCAUUCAAGGAUACCUUUAGUUCUUCUGCCAACCAAACACACACCCACAGAAACACUGAGUGCAAUAAUCAAUGUGGUACAGAAAUUUGAUACUAUAAUAGUGGUUGGAUUACCAUUGUAGGAUAAGCAAUUCUUCAACCUUGACCUGUACCAUAGCUUCCUGUGGAUGUCAAACUCUAGUUGGAUCACUAUCGGAUUCCAUGCCACUUCCUAUUUGGGGACGGUUUCUUCAACUUGGAAAUAGCAGCUCAAGUUGCUCACCAUUUGAGCUGAAAUCAUCCACCAAGAUGAUCUCUUUCAGCAACCGAGGUGGGGUCCGGCUGAUGACACUGGUGAUGGCCCGUUGUAUAAUGGACAGAGAUUCAUCCAUGAAUAUGAUGACGACACCAAGGGAUGGGAGUAGGGAAGGGUAUGACUUCUGAACACACCUAUAAGAAACCAUUUUGAUAACCA